This 406-nucleotide ribosomal RNA is filed under the name uncultured prokaryote. Its description in RNAcentral is "bacterial SSU rRNA". It matches the Rfam family "Bacterial small subunit ribosomal RNA", at positions 355 to 776 of the family's 1533-position model. The record is from RNAcentral. RNAcentral also lists the same sequence under 1 other name.
UGGGGAAUAUUCCGCAAUGGGCGAAAGCCUGACGGAGCAACGCCGCGUGAGUGAAGAAGGCCUUCGGGUUGUAAAGCUCUGUCUUUGGGGACGAAGAAAGUGACGGUACCCAAGGAGGAAGCCACGGCUAACUACGUGCCAGCAGCCGCGGUAAUACGUAGGUGGCAAGCGUUGUCCGGAAUUAUUGGGCGUAAAGGGCGCGUAGGCGGAUAAUUAAGUCAGAUGUGAAAUAUGCGGGCUUAACCCGGAUCUGCAUCUGAAACUGGCUAUCUUGAGUGCAGGAGAGGACAGUGGAAUUCCUAGUGUAGCGGUGAAAUGCGUAGAUAUUAGGAGGAACACCAGUGGCGAAGGCGGCUGUCUGGACUGUAACUGACGCUGAGGCGCGAAAGCGUGGGGAGCAAACAGG